RNAcentral lists this ribosomal RNA (790 nucleotides) under uncultured bacterium. RNAcentral describes it as "bacterial SSU rRNA". It matches the Rfam family "Bacterial small subunit ribosomal RNA", at positions 49 to 852 of the family's 1533-position model. The record is from RNAcentral.
UAACACAUGCAAGUCGAACGAGCGAGAGAGAGCUUGCUUUCUCGAGCGAGUGGCGAACGGGUGAGUAACGCGUGAGGAACCUGCCUCAAAGAGGGGGACAACAGUUGGAAACGACUGCUAAUACCGCAUAAGCCCACGACCCGGCAUCGGGUAGAGGGAAAAGGAGCAAUCCGCUUUGAGAUGGCCUCGCGUCCGAUUAGCUAGUUGGUGAGGUAACGGCCCACCAAGGCGACGAUCGGUAGCCGGACUGAGAGGUUGAACGGCCACAUUGGGACUGAGACACGGCCCAGACUCCUACGGGAGGCAGCAGUGGGGAAUAUUGCACAAUGGGGGAAACCCUGAUGCAGCGACGCCGCGUGGAGGAAGAAGGUCUUCGGAUUGUAAACUCCUGUUGUUGAGGAAGAUAAUGACGGUACUCAACAAGGAAGUGACGGCUAACUACGUGCCAGCAGCCGCGGUAAAACGUAGGUCACAAGCGUUGUCCGGAAUUACUGGGUGUAAAGGGAGCGCAGGCGGGAAGACAAGUUGGAAGUGAAAUCCAUGGGCUCAACCCAUGAACUGCUUUCAAAACUGUUUUUCUUGAGUAGUGCAGAGGUAGGCGGAAUUCCCGGUGUAGCGGUGGAAUGCGUAGAUAUCGGGAGGAACACCAGUGGCGAAGGCGGCCUACUGGGCACCAACUGACGCUGAGGCUCGAAAGUGUGGGUAGCAAACAGGAUUAGAUACCCUGGUAGUCCACACUGUAAACGAUGAUUACUAGGUGUUGGAGGAUUGACCCCUUCAGUGCCGCAGU